RNAcentral lists this long non-coding RNA (8362 nucleotides) under Aquilegia coerulea. RNAcentral describes it as "long non-coding RNA (ACOE_LNC000088)". Lineage: Eukaryota; Viridiplantae; Streptophyta; Magnoliopsida; Ranunculales; Ranunculaceae. The record is from RNAcentral.
ACAAAUUACAGGGAAUCAUUUAAUCUCUUUUCAUGUUGGUUGGCCACGUUAUAGGGACUUCCAUUACUUAGUACACUUGUGGUUAAUAGAGAGGGGAAACUGAAUUAGUUCACCCUAUGCAUGGCCCCAUAGGAUCAAAUCAUGUAAAGUAAUGAAAAACAAAUGGUCUCUGUUGUUGUUUGUCUCUCUAUACAAAAAGACACAGAGAGUUCCAUUUGAAAAUUUAGGUUUGGACAUAUGAACCGACAACUUUUGGAACCCGGAUUUGAAGGAAGAUCUUCCUCCAAAGAAUAAGACAAAUAUCAUCAAGAUAAAAAUAAGGUCAAAUAAUGAGCCAAACAUUUUCAUCAUUAAAGAUGCUAAAAAUUCAGAAAAUAUCACAUAUUAUCCAUAGAUGUGGGUCUAUCUGCUGGAUCUGAUCUUGAACACACAGCAAUGAAACAUCUUACACUGCAUAUGCUAGGUCCUUCAAAUAGCUGAUCCAUCAAUUCUAGGCUUUUCCCUUCACUCCAUAAUCUCCAUGCCUGCAAAUGUAUUUCAGGAAGUUUAUAGAAUACUGUACACGAGGUGUUAUUCGCCAAGCUACGUUCAUCAAGGGAUGAAAAUUAUAGUUCAAACCAGACAGCAACGCACUUACAUAGAUAAGAAGGCUUUUUUUUUUUUUUUUUUUUCCAUUCAAAAGAUUGAAAUUCAUCCACUUAUGAUUUCAAGCAAAAGGACUCCACAGCAAUAGCAUCUGACCUUGCAGGGAAUUAACCUUCCCUUGUGUACUCUAGAACAGUAUACUACCUGCACAAAUUAAAACAAGCCACAUUCUUAGAAGAAACAGAGUAAUGUCUCACCACUUAUAUAUUGUCAUCAGUGUGACUUAAUAAAUAAGUUUUCAUUUAUGUGCUGGAAAAUUGUACAUGGGCAACAAUAAUAUUGGCUUCUAGUCUUUAUAUUCAGUUGGUGUAGCUGGAUUUACUAUGUUUUCUGUAAAUUAUAAGAAUCUAGUAAUAUAACAUUUUGAGACCUAGCUAGUGAGAAUAUUAAAAGUCCAAAACUAACUCUGGAACGGGAGAUGCCACUCAAGGCACAAAGGUCCAUCCCCGAGAAAAUAUUCCUUAAGUUGUGUACUUGUGGCUCAAUAAAAAGUUCCCUUCGACCUGUACAACUAUGAGAACCAGUUUCCUACACUCUGGCGAAUGGGAUUUUGAUGGUUCUGCUGUUGCUCUUACAAGGUGGGAAGUAUAUGAAUAGCUGUUAUUCGGUACAUUUUCGGUAUAGUGUAUUACGGUACAUUUGCUUGUACACUACACAAUCUUCCACGUGGACUCAAGUGGAAACUUGCUACCGGUUAGUCUAAAGUCAACAAAAAUUUGCUCUUAUUGUUUCUUGAAUUUUGUCAUCCAUAUAGCAAUUUUGUCAUCCAUACAGCUGUUUGUCAUCCAUACAGCUGCCACCUGUAUGUUUGACUGAAAAACUAAAAGAAACAAUAAAAAUUACAUAACCGGUUACCAAGUUGUCCUAGUCACAAUGUGUGGACGAAAAUGCUGCUCGCACCAUAAUGUACUGAGUUAAAAUGUAUUGAAUAAAUGGCUGUAUAUGAAGCCCGAAUGCAACUGAAAUACAUGGUUGGGUGUGGGUAUAUUAACCCACAGCUAGGUACAUAUUCACUGUCAGUUCUACAACUAAAGCUUCAAGCAACUCAGCAUCAAAGUCUUAUGGCGAUGAGUUCAGUUAAUCAAAAUGUUGUUAACUGGUGUUUGCAAUGAAGCUAAAUUUACUUAAUAAUGUCCUUCAUAAAUUUUCUAAGCCAUUUACAUAUUCUUUGGACUUUUAACCUAAAAUCAAGGUGAUUGGGCCGGGACUUAAAUGACUGGUUGAAAAUUUGAAAUAUAUAGAAGCCUACUCAUGUGGUCCGCAAGGAAAAUUACUUGUAGCCUAUGGGUCCUUUUGCAGCAAUAAGACCAUGAAUCCAUGAUAGAUAGAGUCUGUAAUAGAUCCUCUAGAACACUCUACUGGCACUGGGCUGGGUGUUUUCUAUGGUGGUCUUAGUGGUCGUCCCCUAAAGGUAUAUAUCCUAUUAGUUCUUGUGGUCUGGGCUAAAAUUUUGCUCAAGCAUGGGAUGGAUCCUUCAUCCCUACCACCAGCCUAAGUUGACCCAUCUGACACUGGCCUGCAGACCCAAAUAACUUUUCAUGAUACAAACUUCAGCUGCGUGAGAUUUCUGCUUUUCAAUGUCUAUCCAUCAAACUUUGACGGGAUUUUUAGACUUACCCCCCCCCCCCCUUUUAUGGUCACGUUUUGAGUACCCCCCUAUUUGUCCAAGUUUGGAUUUUACCCCUUCUGUUUCUGUCAAAUUUAACGUCAAUUUUGUUUAUAACUUCCCAAAAUGCCCUCGAUUGCUACUUUAGACUUAACCCCCCUAAAAAAAUUCAGUUAACAAAAUAUAACAAUUUUACUUACCGUUAUAUAAAUGGGGUUAAGUCUAAAAUAUGAGAGAGGGGUAUUUUAAGAAGAAAAAAAAAUGAAAAUAGACGUUAAAUUUGACAGAAGUAGACGGAGAGGGGGUAAAGUCUAAACUUGGACAAAUAGGGGGGGUUUACUCAAAACGUCCAUUAAAAAGAGGGGGGGGGGGGGGUUAAGUCUAAAAAUCCCAACUUUGAUCUCCACUUUUCAUAAUAUUUUUCACUUCCAUACCUACCCCUUAACACAUCCUUCGAAUAACCUAGCUUCUCUCUCCCUCUAUGAUCCACAGCUUGUGCAGUAACAACUUCUCUUCAUUUCUCGGUAGUACCACCACACACUCUAUGCAAGCUUUGUACAUACUCACUCCAUCCCUGGCGUCCACUCCCUACAUGUCACGUGUUAAGAUGACGUUAUUCAUCCUCCGCAACUCAACUCUUUCUUUUGAUCAAGGGUGAUUUAGGUUUUGGUCACCACUUUUUAGUAUAAAUUAGGCUUUGGAGCCGGUUUUUUUCUUUAUUAGGGUUUAGAGCUCAUUUUCGAACCAAGAACUAAAAAAACCCGGUUGAACCAAAAAUAUUUUCAAAUUAUCUAAGAUUACCCUGGAAUUUCGNNNNNNNNNNNNNNNNNNNNNNNNNNNNNNNNNNNNNNNNNNNNNNNNNNNNNNNNNNNNNNNNNNNNNNNNNNNNNNNNNNNNNNNNNNNNNNNNNNNNUUUGCAGCGCUAGCAGGGCAGUAACUUGAGGUGGCUUUGAAUUUGCGAAACAACACCCUAGCCACAUCAAGCCUUUCUAACACUAAGGUGGACUUGUCUAUCUUGGUCACCCUCCCUUAUUGCUUGAUAGCUAUGCUGUCAGGGGCGCCGCCUGAGCGCCUCUCAGCGCCGCCUAGGCGCUAUUUCUGGAGGGGGACGCUCCGCUAGGCAAAAACAACGCCUAAAACGCCUUGGGCCGCCUGGGCGGCGCUCAGGUCCAGCGCUCUGUUCAGAGCGGCCCAUUCAAAAGCGCUCACGGCGGCCCAAACUUAAAAAAGCCCAUUAAAAGUUAAGCUAAAAAAAAAGAAAAAAAAAAACUUGCGUUCUCUCUCUGGUCUCUCUCACGCUCUCUCUGGUCUCAUCUCUCCGGCUCUGCUGCUACUUCUUUCUCCGGCUCCGCUGCUGCUACUACUUCUAAAUUCUAAAUUCUAAUCUUCUAAGUUUCUUCAAAUCUUCCUAAAUCUAAUCUUCUUCUUCUUCUUUAAAUUUUUUUAAUUUUUCAAAUAAUUAAAAUUUAAAUCUUUUUCUUUUUUCAAUUGAAACUGUAAAUAUUUGAUUUGAAAAAUUAAAACUGUAGAUCUGAUCGGCGCCGCCUGAGCGGUGGAGGCGGUUCUCAGAAAUCUGGGCGCCUGGCGCUCCGCUCCACCUUUGACAGCAUAGCUUGAUAGUUAUUUAAUAAAUAAUCUCGGUAGACCAAAGAUUGGAAGUGGGAUCCACUUUUGCUUUUUGGAUACCCAUAAGGGUAAAUUGAAUUAAUAUGUUUCCCCUACCUUGUAAUCCAUAUUUUCCCUCCAUUGCCGAAUCACCUCCCUCUUAUUUGGUACCUAUUUCGCUCUAACAUCUGCAUCCAUUACUAAUAAAAUCUUCUUUUUUCUAGGAGCGAAUAACCAUAAUUUUAUUUUUGAAUUACCCAUACCAUGAUAGCUCCCGUCAACCACUCCCAUCCAAGAAGACUCGAUAGCAACGUAAUCAAAAUCACACCACACUGGAUACCUGUUGUUCCGUGAGGAAUGUGAUUGCUUCUAGAAUGCAAUGGUAGAUCAGUAGGGAAUGGGAAACAUGUGGAAUUGUGGCAUGAUUGUUAGAAUAACAAAAACUACAUUUAUCAUACGAAGCAAAUUCAGAAUGUCAAGCUAAGGGAGUAUAGAGACCUAGAUUAAAGGUAAAGUUUACAAUUUCUUCGGUGAUUCAAGAUAUUAGGACGGUAAAUCACAGAAUAGACUGGCACCGAAUGAUAUGAAUGACCAUCAAUAUCCUAUGAAUACUACAAAUGCUUGGAAGUUGAUCCAAAGAUGUGUAACAAUAAACGAAGAUUUACAAAGUAAAUGAGUAACUUAAGCAAGCCUAUAAAUGAGGGUCAAUGCCUUUGUUUGUCUGUGUUGGGUUUAAAUGUUUUGUGUAAUCAAAAUGACAAUAGAGGACCUUAAACAUCUCAUCUGGGGGUGCCCCUACGCUAAAUAUUUUUGGGUGAUAAAUUUCAAAUAAGGCCUAAAGGAAGGAACUGUUAGCUGUGACAAACGAGAUGGUAACUCUUUGUUUUCAUAGGAAAGAAGUACAUUUUUUUUCCAACAGAAAUGUUGGAGCAUUUGUCCAAUGUGCAACAUGUAAAAUACCACAAGAACUUCAAAUUUUGAGAGGUUAUCGUAUUUCUUUGAACCCAAACCUUGCGCCAAAAAAUAAGAACUGUAAAUGGGUACACCCUAGAGAUCAAACAAGAGGCAAGAGGCAAAAAUUAAUGUCGAAGGAAAACCAGAAGCAGUAGGUGGAUCAACACUUAGAAACCACAAGGGCAAUCAGGAGAUACUACCAAUCAUAUAACAUAAUGCAACACAAUAUUGGAGAACUAUUGAGAUGCUCAUAGAAAGGAGCUGGCUUUGGUCAGGUAAUCAAGUUUGAUUCAACAAAGCGAUUUUUCUUGAUGCAUCUUAUUUUAAAUUUUUAUGUUCAACGUUACGGUAGUUACAUACAAAAUCCCUCUACUAGAUUUCGAAGUGAACCUCCUAACCAAUUUGUUUUUUUUUUUUUUUGUAAGUUCUAUUUUAAUCAAAACCACUGGAUUAUUUAGUUCAAAUGGCUGAGAUAGGGAGUGAAAUGGAAGUAAAACUAAGGAGGAGUUGAUGGAACGACCCCCUUGUUAAAAUCAUUUAAGUUUUUUCAUUAAAGAUUUAAAGUAAAUGAUUUAUAGGCUUUGUCAAAUUUACCUUUUAUUUUAUUAUAACUAUUGAAGGUUUUAUUAAAUCCAAAGGAAAUUCUUGGAAGAAAUUAAAAUUUAUUGUAAGGGUUGUUGGUUAAUAGAUAGUCUAGAUAUUUCAUGUUUACCAGAUAAAAAAAUGUCAUAACUAAACUACUUGGAUAGUUAAAAAUUUAACAAGUCCUUCCACCUUUUAUGUUUUCUGACUUUUAAUUAGUUUAUGAACUUCACCCAUAACACAUAAGUCAUACCUAAUCAUUGGAAUAUCAACAAUAGUAAACAUAAUGCAAUACCCAAAAUACGCUAUUAAAACAUGUGUUAUUCGCUAAACAAUUAUAUAUCAUCAAAAAAAUUCUAUAUCAUCAACAAACAAAUAUAACAUAAGUCAUGUCAUUUGGUAAAAUAAUUGUGCAGCUAGAAAGAUUAAUAGAACUUCAUUAACUUUACCUACCCCAAAAUCUCUAAAAAUAGAUGGACGUGAACAUUUGUGCUGCAAUCAAUGUAACAUCCUUCUCUUUUAGAACAUCUUUGUCUCUACGUUUAUCAUGAAGUCCAAGUUGUAUCUUCUCUAACAUCUGAAAAAUGAAAAUUAGUAGUCAAUACACACACAACAUAUUUUCCAACAAUACUUAAAUAUCCAAAUCAGGUGAUAAAUUAAAGUUGAUUAAUUUAGAUCUACUUAAAUACCAAUUGUGUUACAGUGAUCAUAAUCAUCAUACUUGAGAUAAUUUUUUACUCUAUACAUCUAGGGUACUAAGAAUGAAGAAGAGGCGGGUGAUAGUUAGCGAAAGGACUUGGGAAAAAGAAUCGAAUACCAAAACUUAACUAAGAUACAUCCUUUGAGCUCAUGGAAUACUAGUUUGUGUUCCUUGAUCGAGACUUAGCUAGCAUGAGCCUGAGUUGAUCCAACUUAGCAACUAAAUUGUCUACCUCCAAUUAUUAAAUAAUCGUCUCAAAUCAAUAACCCCUGAAAGGAACUCCAUUUUCCAAAGAAAUAAAGUCAAAAAAGAUAUAAUUCCUACUUGGUCAUGGCAUAGAAAUUCUUAAAAUCUCUACAAAAAAGGGUUCCAUCCAACCCACACGUCCUCCCAAAAAAUCACCUUGUCUCCUCUAUCUACUUUGAACCCGCAUUAAAAUAUCACUUAAUUCUUCUAAUAUAUAUUUUCAUAUAACCUACACCCACGGAGAUAGCCACCUCACAAAUCAAAUUCUAGUGGGGACAACCAUACCCAAAAACAAUCAUUUAACUCCAAAGACGCUCAUAUUCAUUCUUGAAUCUCCAUAGCCAUUUAUAUAUCUAUAUAUAUAUCUAUAUAUCAGACCCCUACCAGUAGAUAUAUCAUGAAAACCUUACAAACUCCCUCCCACUAGAGUCAUCUGUUACAUAGCUAGUCAAGCAGCUUGACUUCUAGAGGGGGAGAAAAAAAAGUUUACACACAACUCAGAUGAGUUACAAAGGCUAGCAAUGAAGGUAAUCUGCUACCUUGUUGGUCCCCCUAUACACAUGAAAGACCUCUACUUCCACCAGCUUACUAAUCCAGUCCUUAAUCUUACAUAACAAAAAACAUUGACCCAGGUACAAAAAUUAGUUUUCUCAUUUUUACAAGUAAAAAGCAACCGUGGAUAAAACCUCCAACAAAAGAAAGGUCUAAACCUAGAAAAAAGAAUGAAAAACUAGAACAAAACAAAACUAAAAAAGGACAGUUCCUUGUUUUCUCUCCAUCUAUAUGCUCUACUUUCCCCUAUUUAAUUAAGUUGAUAAAAAAGAUAGCUUCUUAUCUGUAAUAAACCUAAUUACACAAACAAGAGGAAAAAAGAUUCAGGUAUCCCAGCUAUGAAUAGGUUGGAACAAACACCUAGAUCGAGUUAAAAGUUAAAACUAAGCAUAAGAUUCAGGCAAACCCAGCCAUGAAUAGGUUGGAGCAAGCACCUAGAGUCAAAACAAAGAGAUUUCUAUAUCAAAGAUUCCUAGCAUUGAUAUAUAUAUAGGUAACUAAUUGAAUAAUGUAUUCUUUCUAAUCAGGUUUUCUCUUUGGUGGAUUGCCGUAUAAUUCUAACAUAUUGUUUUUACACACAACUAUAAAAUAAAACAGUUUAUACAUAUACAGGGUUAUCGAUCUUCUUCGACUAAUUAAUUAGUAAGGUUUCCAGACAAAGUCAGAAGUACUGUUUCCAUAAACAGUUUGCCUGUAUCUCCAAAUGAAGGAACAUAUGGUGUUUAAGAGAGAAAUGGCUAGUUUAAGGAUACACAUAUACAUAACAUCUUUUGACCUAGCUUAACUCAUGCAGUGGUGUAACUAUAAGAGAAGAACACUGAAGCAUGCAUAUACAGUUUAAAUUGAACAGUAAUUAAUAAACAUUACAAGCUAGGUAUUACAAUUUACAACAAAGUGAGUAUAAUUAUGCAUGAACAUAAAUCAUAACUUUAGAAGAUGAAUAGAUGUUUAAAGAGCAGAAACAGGUUUUCUAAAGCUAAUUAAUGUAUGCAUAAAGAACACCAAUUGCGUGCAAUAUAUAUAUUAAAAACUCACUUACAGAUCCAAUUGCAUCGCUAGCUAUGUAGUACACGUUUCAUUUCAAAUCUGUACGUGUGUGUUCUCAAUCAUGAAGUUCUUAAGGAGAGAUGAUACUUGAUCCAUUGAUGAAGUAACCAAAUACCAAACCCUAGCUUGUUCAUCAUUUUAAUUUUAAUUUUCUCUUAGCUUUCUUCCCCAUUUCUGUUGAAAGAGUUUAUGAAUAAUAUUAAUAAUUAAUUAAUGAGUAAUUAGUAAAUAAAAAAAAAACACCAAAUUAAAUACCCUACCUCUUUGAUUUAACUCCAACAAGAUCAGAAUUUCAACCAUGAUUGAAGUUGUUCAGACGAGAAUGACAAGGGAAGAAUAAUCUUGUUAUCUCUUUCUCUCUCUUUUCUUUGACAUGAGAAGGGAAACUUUGCUACGUGUCUCUCACAAAGGUAAUGGGGUCAGCU